This 72-nucleotide transfer RNA is filed under the name bacterium. Its description in RNAcentral is "tRNA-His". It matches the Rfam family "tRNA". Rfam says of the family: Transfer RNA (tRNA) molecules are approximately 80 nucleotides in length. Their secondary structure includes four short double-helical elements and three loops (D, anti-codon, and T loops). RNAcentral also lists the same sequence under 3 other names. The record is from RNAcentral.
GUGGGUGUAGCUCAGGGGGAGAGCAUCGGUUUGUGGUUCCGAGGGUCGCGGGUUCAAAUCCCGUCAUCCACC